UGGCGGGUCUUUGAAUUAACCUAUAUAAAGUAAAUAGAUGCAAAACAAUUCAUUAACAUUCCUUGAGUAAACAUGAUUUCAUCAAAUAAGGAUAAUGUGUUCUUGGAGACUGCUGAAUUGGCAUGUUUCUAAUGCUUUGAAUGAACAUGAUUAAGUUGUGUCUGGGGUGGCCUCCAGUCCUGAGGUGGCGCUAGUGCACCACUUUCUAAGACAAGAAGAAGCCGGAAAGUUUCAAGCCAGAGAAUCGUUCGCCUCAGUCAGCCCGGUCCUACUCUUCAGUCUCAUCUCGCUGGAAUAGUGUUGUCAUGUGUGAAGAUAUACACGAAAUUGAGUAAGUAACUGAAGUACUUUCAUUUAUGGUGGGCGAUGUACUACUGCUCUUGUGUCUUUUGUGUGUGGAAGCUGAGCUUAGACUCUACUACAUUUACCCGCGCAGUGCUCUUUGCUUAGUAACAGGUGCACUGCAAACACAUGCAGUUGGCUAUGCCCCAUGUCAUUUUAGAAAAGAAUGGAAAAUAUGUACAUUUAGGAUAUUCAAAGGAUGUAGUAAAAACUGCAAUCUACAAUCUAGCUGGUUAUCUUCAGUUAAUAGCUAUAUUUGCGCGGGAGGGUCUGAUCCGUUAAUGGGGGAGGGGUGGUGAGGGGUAUGCACAGAACUAGAACUUGAUCGAACACGUUGCAUGCUCACGAGAACAGAGGGCUGGCGUCGUUUCGGUGUGUUCAUUUUAAGCCAAGUAUUCUAUUUUUAAAGUUUUCUUUUCUUAUCCAACCCAGGUGUUUAAUGCACACAUGCACUUGUGGUCUUAACCGAAGAUUAAUGAAAUGACUUCUGCUGCACUGUUCGAAGUCUGUAAGAUCAGUGCUGAAUUCAAAAGAAUAACCACAGUUCCCCUGCAAUCCAAGCAACUGUUGCUGAAUUGGCUGAUUUGUACAAGAUGCACCAUUUCUGAGGACUUCUGGCACAGUGGCCUGCACUGUUCAAAGUUUGCAAGAUCAGUGCUGAAUUGAAAAGAAUCACCACAGUCCCACUGCAAUGCCCUGCACUGUUCCAAGUCCACAAGGUCAUGGAUGAAGUUGCCGUAGACGAAGCAAUUGAAGACAUCACUAUUGGAAUCUGCUCUGACAGAAGAUUGGGCAUCCCACCCAAAGGACAUUGUCAGUUUUAGUGUAUGUCUGUCACACACGUGACACCCAAUCGGAAAGGACUCUUUUUUUCAGCAACUAAAAAACAGCAGUUAUUUUUGUUUCUUUAAGUGAAAUGUACCUUUUUUCUAGAGAUCAAUUUGCUUGUAUGCACUUCCAGCUCCUUGCUGGUUUAAGAAUAGUACUUGAGUGUGCAUAUGUUUUGUACAUACUGUGUUGAUUUUGACCCAAA
This is a long non-coding RNA of Engraulis encrasicolus (European anchovy), 1375 nucleotides long. RefSeq lists it as uncharacterized. Lineage: Eukaryota; Metazoa; Chordata; Actinopteri; Clupeiformes; Engraulidae. The record is from RefSeq and is a predicted model, not a curated record. The transcript is spliced from 6 exons.